AGGCCAGCCAAUUUAACUGCUUACCUGAAUGUGUUUCUGCAGAAAUUUUUAAAAGCUGGCAAUAGUAAAGCCUUAUUACAAACUUUAAGGACACUGAAGUCAUUAAAGACCCUGAAAAUGGCUAUAACA
Molecule: small nucleolar RNA, 129 nt
Organism: Otolemur garnettii (small-eared galago)
Lineage: Eukaryota; Metazoa; Chordata; Mammalia; Primates; Galagidae
Source: Ensembl